CGUCUGUCCCUACUUCGGGGGUGCCAAACCCCAAGCACAAGCUGCCAUCCAUAUGUGAUGGAAUGGGUGAUCCCUCAGCUACCGAGGUAGGAGAAGAAUCCCAGGGAAACACCGUAGCCUGGCUAUUACGGCCAGUGGGUGCUACGGGCACAUUAACUGGG
This 161-nucleotide ribozyme is filed under the name unclassified sequences. RNAcentral's name for it is "Hairpin ribozyme 1 from viruses-like metatranscriptomes". It matches the Rfam family "Hairpin ribozyme 1 from viruses-like metatranscriptomes". The record is from Rfam by way of RNAcentral.